This 760-nucleotide ribosomal RNA is filed under the name Kocuria sp. RNAcentral's name for it is "bacterial SSU rRNA". It matches the Rfam family "Bacterial small subunit ribosomal RNA", at positions 70 to 840 of the family's 1533-position model. Lineage: Bacteria; Bacillati; Actinomycetota; Actinomycetes; Micrococcales; Micrococcaceae. The record is from RNAcentral.
GAUGCCCAGCUUGCUGGGCGGAUUAGUGGCGAACGGGUGAGUAAUACGUGAGUAACCUGCCCUUGACUCUGGGAUAAGCCUGGGAAACUGGGUCUAAUACUGGAUACUACCUCUUACCGCAUGGUGGGUGGUGGAAAGGGUUUUACUGGUUUUGGAUGGGCUCACGGCCUAUCAGCUUGUUGGUGGGGUAAUGGCUCACCAAGGCGACGACGGGUAGCCGGCCUGAGAGGGUGACCGGCCACACUGGGACUGAGACACGGCCCAGACUCCUACGGGAGGCAGCAGUGGGGAAUAUUGCACAAUGGGCGGAAGCCUGAUGCAGCGACGCCGCGUGAGGGAUGACGGCCUUCGGGUUGUAAACCUCUUUCAGUAGGGAAGAAGCGAGAGUGACGGUACCUGCAGAAGAAGCGCCGGCUAACUACGUGCCAGCAGCCGCGGUAAUACGUAGGGCGCAAGCGUUGUCCGGAAUUAUUGGGCGUAAAGAGCUCGUAGGCGGUUUGUCGCGUCUGCUGUGAAAGCCCGGGGCUCAACCCCGGGUCUGCAGUGGGUACGGGCAGACUAGAGUGCAGUAGGGGAGACUGGAAUUCCUGGUGUAGCGGUGAAAUGCGCAGAUAUCAGGAGGAACACCGAUGGCGAAGGCAGGUCUCUGGGCUGUUACUGACGCUGAGGAGCGAAAGCAUGGGGAGCGAACAGGAUUAGAUACCCUGGUAGUCCAUGCCGUAAACGUUGGGCACUAGGUGUGGGGGACAUUCCACGUUUU